UUUCCUUUUUCUUUUUUUCUUCUUCUUCCUGCUAUAAAAACAUCAAUUGCUCUCUUCUUCUUAUCUCUUUCCCACUUCUUCCCGACUUUAUUUCUUUUCUCUCUUCUUAUCCUUUUACACAGACAGCAAGAGAGAGGACUGAGGGACAUAAAGCUAAUUCCUACGCACGAUCCAUUUCAUAUCUGUGAGUGUUCGUUUUGGUUUAAACGGACAUACCAGACCGUCCAACAC
RNAcentral lists this long non-coding RNA (231 nucleotides) under Hordeum vulgare. RNAcentral's name for it is "long non-coding RNA (HVUL_LNC015428)". The record is from RNAcentral. Lineage: Eukaryota; Viridiplantae; Streptophyta; Magnoliopsida; Poales; Poaceae.